Molecule: ribosomal RNA, 230 nt
Filed under: uncultured bacterium
Lineage: Bacteria
Description: partial 16S ribosomal RNA
Rfam family: Bacterial small subunit ribosomal RNA
Source: RNAcentral
AAAGCGUGCGCAGGCGGUUUUGUAAGUCUGUCGUGAAAUCCCCGGGCUCAACCUGGGAAUGGCGAUGGAGACUGCAAGGCUAGAGUUUGGCAGAGGGGGGUAGAAUUCCACGUGUAGCAGUGAAAUGCGUAGAGAUGUGGAGGAACACCGAUGGCGAAGGCAGCCCCCUGGGUCAAAACUGACGCUCAUGCACGAAAGCGUGGGGAGCAAACAGGAUUAGAUACCCGAGU